Molecule: ribosomal RNA, 403 nt
Filed under: uncultured bacterium
Lineage: Bacteria
Description: partial 16S ribosomal RNA
Rfam family: Bacterial small subunit ribosomal RNA
Source: RNAcentral
AUUGAACGCUGGCGGCAGGCCUAACAUAUGCAAGUCGAGCGAGCGGCGGAAGGGUGAGUAAUGGAUGGGGACUGCCCGAUAGAGGGGGAUAACUAAUGGAAACGGUGGCUAAUACCGCAUAAUAUCGGAUAACACAUAUGGGAUUAGCUAGUAGGUGGGGUAAAGGCUCACCUAAGCGACGAUCUCUAGCUGGUCUGAGAGGAUGAUCAGCCACACUGGGACUGCGACACGGCCCAGCCUCCUACGGAGGCAGCAGUGGGUAAUAUUGCACAAUGGGCUCAAGCCUGAUGCAGCCAUGCCGCGUGUAUGAAGAAGGCCUUAGGGUUGUAAAGUACUUUCAGCGGUGAGGCGUUACCCGCAGAAGAAGCACCGGCUAACUCCGUGCCAGCAGCCGCGGUAAUUC